This 433-nucleotide ribosomal RNA is filed under the name uncultured bacterium. RNAcentral describes it as "partial 16S ribosomal RNA". It matches the Rfam family "Bacterial small subunit ribosomal RNA", at positions 29 to 507 of the family's 1533-position model. The record is from RNAcentral.
AACGAACGCUGGCGGCAUGCCUAACACAUGCAAGUCGAACGAGACCUUCGGGUCUAGUGGCGCACGGGUGCGUAACGCGUGGGAACCUGCCCUUAGGUUCGGAAUAACUCCCCGAAAGGGGUGCUAAUACCGGAUAAUGUCUUCGGACCAAAGAUUUAUCGCCUUUGGAUGGGCCCGCGUUGGAUUAGCUAGUUGGUAGGGUAAAAGCCUACCAAGGCGACGAUCCAUAGCUGGUCUGAGAGGAAGAUCAGCCACACUGGGACUGAGACACGGCCCAGACUCCUACGGGAGGCAGCAGUGGGGAAUAUUGGACAAUGGGCGAAAGCCUGAUCCAGCAAUGCCGGGUGAGUGAUGAAGGCCUUAGGGUUGUAAAGCUCUUUUACCCGGGAUGAUAAUGACAGUACCGGGAGAAUAAGCUCCGGCUAACUCCGUG